UAACUAAAACUAACAGUAACUAUUCAGUUUAAUUACAAUUAGUACUCUAAAAAAAACUCAUAUGCAUCUCUAUGUACACAAACACACAGCUAAUGGUUCAAUAUGAAUACACUCACACUUAAUAGUUCAUCAUUUCAAUACAGUUCAUUACAAAUUAAUGAUUCGGCCAGUCCAAUUAUGCAACACAAAUCAAAAGUAAACCUAAACAAAUACCAAUUAUCUAGUAUCUAUUCUAGUAUAACAACUUGAACGCGCGCACUUCAAGAGGUAAAUAGGGGAGCCUUUUAUUUCAGCAUUUCAAUUCAAAAGCUACAUCAAAUCAAUCUCGAGAAUGUGUACCUGGAAUUUACAACAAUGAAGAAGGAGCAGUCAGUAGCAGCAAACAGCAAGUUCAACAGCAGAGGAACAAUUUGGGACCCCAAAAUAAUGCCACUAAAACCCAGGAACAAAGGAUAGAUGAACAGCACCGAUAAAACACUUAGAACAACCCUGGUUGAUCCCAAACACCCUCAAAAUUAACCUGGGAAACUUCUGUAAAACUUCAACAACCAGGCACGAACUAGAAGAUGCAAAGCAAUUACUAUAGCUUGAAGUUCAACCAAAAUCUCAAUAGAACAGCAAACCAAUCAAUCAAACUUAAACCAACUCUCCCCAAUACCCAAAUUCAAUCUAUUUUUACCCCCAGAUGAGUCAAGGAUUGCUUCAACAAGUUAGAAACUUGAAAAAUCAGAGAAAAUGAAUUCAAUGAAGCAGUAGAAAAAUUUCAAAGACUGUAAAAAACUUCAACGAGACAGUAGUCUUUUCAGUAUUUCUAUGUGUUCAAUCCUGUGUGUUCUCAGGUCAAGAUUGCUUAAAACUCUAUCAAACAAAACUCGAAUUCUCUCUCAAUCUUUUCAAACUCUCUUUUGUUCUCCUCCCCCUUUUCAGAAUGUGUAUAUGUGUAUUUAUAUUCCUAAAACUCAUCCUUUUCCCGCUCUUAAAAGCACUUCAACAAUUAAGAAACAAUUUCCCCCCAUCACCCUCUGAUUUUCCAACACUAGAACAGGAAUCUCAGUACCCCAUUACCCCCCUUUAUUAUUAUUCUAUUCAGCUGGUAUGGGCAGCCUGAUAUUUAAAUUACGCGUGCCCUGACAGCCCAUGUUGCUUCUGGUUUUCCACUAGUAAAGGCAUUAAUCCAACCUGUCAUUCCCCUUUUUCAUUAGUUAAUUCAAAAGGUUAUCAAUCCUAAUUUUAUUUAAUGAGUUUUCCCUAUCUCAUUUCCAAAUUACUCCUCUACAGCCUAAUUAUUUGUCAAAAACCCUGAAGGUUCUGACCUAAAUUUUAACAUUGUAACGAAAAUCAGCAAAUACCUCACACAUGAACAAUUAAAUUGGCAAGAAAUAAUUAGUGAAUGAACCAGAAGUUUAAGCAAAUUCAAACAAACAUAGAAGGAAAGACCUAAACCGACGCAAAAGACAAACAAACAAUCAAAAGAAAGUAGCAACUUACCAAGUAGAUUUGAAAUUGAUACCGACAUUCCAACUCACCCCAAGAUAAUGUUAAUCGCUCGUUCCUUUUAACUAGCAACCAUCAUUAUCUGAGGGUAACUUGUCCUUGGAAAGUUUAGAAAAACUCGAGAAUAAACACUCCAGAGUUCAGACCUCAGGUUGAAAAUCCGAGACAAUUGAAAGAGAUUCGAGGGGAGCUAUGCUGAGGUUCGGAAAGAGGGGUUCAUGGGGAUUAUAUGGUGUUGAUUUGGGGUUGAUUGGGUAAACUAGGGUUCGGGUCCGAUCUUCGAUCUGAAAUUCGAGGGAUUUGGCUAAGAUUCGAAGGCAAUGGUUUUGGGAUUUGAGGUGAUGAGGUGAAGGAGAAUCAGGGGUGUUAGUUUGGGGUCGAUUGGAGGUGGCGCCGCCACUGGAGAAAGUUAAGGCGGUGCUAGGGUUCAUCUACUCGAAUCGAUAUUUGACGGGUUCCUGGGAUGUUCAAAGGAUUUGGAGUAGGGAUUUGGGAAGAGGAGAUCGAGGGGGUUCUGGGGUGUAUUUUUGGGAGGGAUUGGACCACCGGAACCGCCGUGGGGCGAUUUUCGGUGGGCGGAGGGCGGUGGUGAGACAAGGUCGUCUCUGAAUCGAUGAGAGAGACGGAUGGGAGGGGUUCUGAUUUUGGGGGU
RNAcentral lists this long non-coding RNA (2146 nucleotides) under Nicotiana tabacum (common tobacco). Its description in RNAcentral is "long non-coding RNA (NTAB_LNC000413)". The record is from RNAcentral. Lineage: Eukaryota; Viridiplantae; Streptophyta; Magnoliopsida; Solanales; Solanaceae.